Molecule: long non-coding RNA, 1079 nt
Filed under: Citrus maxima (pomelo)
Lineage: Eukaryota; Viridiplantae; Streptophyta; Magnoliopsida; Sapindales; Rutaceae
Description: long non-coding RNA (CMAX_LNC003948)
Source: RNAcentral
GAAUUAGAAAAACGACGUCGUUUUGAUUAAAUUGAAAACGGUGCGUUUUCAAUUUAAUCUGCAUCAGAAACCACACUAACACACUCUCUCACUUUCCUAUUGACAAACCACAGACUCCAACACAAAUAGCAAUCACGCCCACAAAUAGCAAUCACCCAACGGUCAUGCGAACAGCCAGCACAGACGACGGACGAGCCCACAGACGACGGACCACCGCCAUCACGCGAUCGAGGGAGUAGAACUCACGUGGUGGUGCGUCCAAACUCCGAUGAAAUCGACGACGAUGGAGGUGGUUGGAGCCGCGGUUCUUUCGAGCUAAAUUUCCGGCGUUCUUGUUGGUUUUCGGCGACAAGGAUGGCAAGGAAACGACGGCCGACUUCCAAGCUUCAGAUCAAUACCUUGAUCGGCCGGUAGAGUGGCCGGGAUCGUGAAAUCCAACCGGGUCACGUUUGCGGGUCAGGUCGGGUUUGCGGGUCAAACCGGGUCAACUUCUCUCCCUCCUCAUCCACUCACAAAGCGCCACACGGCUCCCCUUGGCCAGGUUGUUGUUGUUGGAAUUUUUUUUGCUGGAAGCGUUAUUGGUGCUGGAAUUGAUGCUGGAGUUGUUGCUGCUGGAAUUUUUUUUGCUGGAAGUGUUACUGGUACUGGAGUUGGUGCUCGAAUUGUUGCUGCAAUUUUUUUUUUUUUUGUAUUUGUAUGUGUGAACUCCUAAUUGUUUUUUUAUUAUUUUGGGCACUUGUUGCUGCUGAUAUGUGUGUGUGUGAAAUUGCUUACUGGCUGGAAUACAACAACAAGUCUUGCUGCUGGAAUUGUUUCUGCUGUUAGUGUUGCUGCUGCUGGAAUUCACAUUCAAAUGCUCACGGUUUGCUAGAUCAAGAUUCAUAAAUUAAAAUGAAACAACUUAACAAAUUAAUAUAAGAACAAUACAUACUUACGGGUUUUGCAAUGUAGAGGUUCAACACUUUCACGAACCAAUUGCCGUUUUGUAGAGCCGGCACUACACAGCUGCAAUGAAUUGAAGAAGCGACGUCGUUCGAUUUAAGUGAUCGUUUUAAAACUCACGCACACGUGCUGCGCAA